AUGCCGAGGGCACCGCGCUGGUGUCCGCCGACUUCGGAUGCGCAGCCGGCGGCGGCGGCCGUGCUCUACCCGUCGUGCCCCGAGGACAUCGCCUCGCUGCUCCGGGCCUCGUGCAUGCACCCCUCCCCGUUCCCUGUGUCUGCCCGGGGCUGCGGCCACUCGACCCGAGGGCAGGCGUCCGCACCCCGCGGCGUCGUCGUGGACAUGCUGUCGCUCGGGUGCCAAGCCGGCGGGUCUGCUACCCACCUCUCCGUCUCGGUCGACGGCCGCUACGUCGACGCCGGCGGCGAGCAGCUGUGGGUGGACGUGCUGCGUGCUGCCCUGGCGCACGGCCUCACCCCAAGGUCCUGGACCGACUACCUCCACCUCACCGUCGGCGGGACGCUCUCCAACGCCGGCAUCAGCGGCCAGGCCUUCCGCCACGGCCCCCAGAUAUCCAACGUGCAAGAACUCGACGUGAUCACCGGGCUCGGGGAGAUUGUCACAUGCUCAAAGGAGAAGCACGCGGACCUGUUCGACGCCGUGCUGGGCGGGUUGGGGCAGUUCGGCGUCAUAACGCGGGCGCGCAUCCCGCUGAUCCCGGCGCCGGCGAGGGCGCGCUGGAUGCGGCUCUUCUACACGGGGGCCGCGGCGCUCACGGGCGACCAGGAGCGGCUCAUCGGCGUCGACCUCGGCACCGCUGUGUCCGGGUUCAUGGACUACGUCGAGGGCUCGGUGGUGCUCGCGGAUCAGGGCCAGGUCGGGAGCUGGCGCUCGUCGUUCUUCUCGGAAACCGCGCUCGCAGAGGAGGCUGGCGGCGUCCUUUACUGCCUCGAGGGAGCGCUGUACUACGGCGGCGCUGCUCUCGCCGGCGAGUCUGACGUCGACAAGAUGAAUCGGCAAUGGAUGUACGGUCCCCGACUCUCCGGCGAGUUCACUACGGGUUUGAAAGAUUUCCUCGUAGUGGCAAAUGCGAACAAGCAGCAAGGUUUUAUUAUCUGUCCAUGUGCUGUCUGUAAGAAUCAGAAGGGUUACUCCUCCUCAAGAGACGUUCACAUGCACCUGCUUCGGCACGGUUUCAUGCCAAGCUAUAAUUGUUGGACCAAGCAUGGAGAAAGAGGGGUUAGAAUGGAAGAAUAUGAAGAAGGGGAUGAUAUCGAUGACAACUAUCAUGAUCAUUUCGGUGAUACUUUCAUGGAGGAUGAUGCUGAAGGUGGGGAAGGGUUAGGUGAAGGUGAAGAAGAGGCACACGAUGAGCCCGCUGAUGAUCUUGGUCGGACCAUUGCUGAUGCACGGAGACGCUGCGAAACUGACAAGGAUAGGGAGAAUUUGGAUCGCAUGUUAGAGGAUCACAAAAAGUCGUUGUAUCCAGGAUGCGAUAAUAGUCUGAAAAAGCUGGGCUACACACUGGAUUUGCUAAAAUGGAAGGCACAGGAAGGUGUAGGUGACUCAUCAUUUGAAAAUUUGCUGAAAAUGUUGAAGAAUAUGUUUCCGAAGAAUAACGAGUUGCCCGCCAGUACGUACGAAGCAAAGAAGGUUGUCUGCCCUCUAGGUUUAGAGGUUCUGAAGAUACAUGCAUGCAUUAACGACUGCAUCCUCUACCGCGGUGAAUACGAGAAUUUGAAUGAAUGCCCUAUAUGCACUGCAUUGCGUUAUAAGAUCAGAGGCGAUGACCCUGGUGACGAUGUUGAGGGCGAGAAACCCAGGAAGAGGGUUCCCGCCAAGGUGAUGUGGUAUGCUCCUAUAAUACCACGGUUGAAACGUCUGUUCAUGAACAAAAGGCAUGCCAAGUCGUUGCGAUGGCACAAAGAGGACUGUAAGUCCGAUGGGGAGUUGAGACACCCCGCUGAUGGAACGCAAUGGAGAAAGAUCGACAGAGUGUUCAAAGAUUUUGCAGCUGACGCAAGGAACAUAAGAUUUGGUCUAAGUACUGAUGGCAUGAAUCCUUUUGGCGAGCAGAGCUCCAGCCAUAGCACCUGA
This 1959-nucleotide ribosomal RNA is filed under the name Triticum aestivum (bread wheat). RNAcentral describes it as "partial small subunit ribosomal RNA". The record is from RNAcentral. Lineage: Eukaryota; Viridiplantae; Streptophyta; Magnoliopsida; Poales; Poaceae.